CAUAAAAUGACACGAAAAGUGAAAGACUAGAUUUUGAUAAUUUUGAUUCUACUUAAAUUUAAAUUAAAAGCAUGUUCAAGCUAUAUUGCACAUGAUAAAUUCGGGAAUUUCGACCAAAGAACAAUUUCAUAAGCAACAAACAAAGAGUUCAUAAGUACAGACUGCGACGUUGAUUUUUCUCUUAUUUGUGGCGUGUUUUAAAAAUGUCUCGUUGGAGUGAAGAAACAACAAUAAAAUUUGUAUAAGAGUAUUAAGAAAGACGAUGCUUAUGGGAUACAAGGGCUACCAUUUACAAAAAUAAACAAGCUCGGGACUCGGCGUAUAAGGAAAUUGAGGAGAUCAUGGGGAUAGAAGGAUUCGGAGUGCCUGAAAUCAAGAACAAAAUACGGGCGUUGAGGUCAACUUAUUCUCAAGAAAAAAAGAAAAUAAGGGACUCUAUGAAGUCAGGAGCAGGAUCGGAGGAUAUUUAUGUCCCCAGUGUAAAAUGGUUUAAGGAAAUGGACACAUUUUUACGUAACAUAGAGGAUAAUAAGAGACCUACGCAGGAUAAUUUCAAUAUACAACGCGAAGAAGAAGUUAAUGAACAAAGACGAGAAAAUGAAGAAGAAAUAAUGGCUGCAAGAAACGAAACGUCUCAGGAAGUACCGCAGAAAAAAAGUAGAACUACGUCAAAAUUGAGGCAAGUUACUGCAGUAGUUAACGACCUAAAAAAAAUAAGCGAAACUAUCACGCAUGAACCUGCCAAUGAGCAUGAAUACAUAGCUUUUGGUCGCAGUGUUGCUGCACAAUUAAUGAUGUUAACUCCUCUUUCCGCCAUACAAGCACAGGAACGCAUUCAGUCUGUUCUGACAAGUUUUAAACUACAAGACCUCCAGGCCCAGAGUAACCAGUACGACACAUAUGCAGAUACCAGUAGUGCUCUCGCCUCAUCUUCCAUCAUGCACCACUGCAGUCCCCUAAAUAUUCCGACAUGCAUUCUUCUUCUUGCAACUCGUGCAGAAUCAGUUGCCGAUGAUAUUGUACGAUCACAGAUAACAGCAAAACCUUUUUCCAAUAUUAAACAUGUUUUGUUCAUCAACAACUUUUUCGUAAUAAUAAUAUUUAAAAAUAA
Long non-coding RNA from Anthonomus grandis grandis, 1111 nucleotides. RefSeq lists it as uncharacterized. The record is from RefSeq and is a predicted model, not a curated record. The transcript has 2 exons. NCBI's taxonomy places the organism in Eukaryota, Metazoa, Arthropoda, Insecta, Coleoptera, Curculionidae.